RNAcentral lists this microRNA precursor (92 nucleotides) under Aotus nancymaae (Ma's night monkey). RNAcentral's name for it is "miRNA (ENSANAG00000008684.1)". The record is from RNAcentral. Lineage: Eukaryota; Metazoa; Chordata; Mammalia; Primates; Aotidae.
AAGAUAUUAGGUUGGUGCAAAAGUAACUGCAGUUUUUGCCAUUACUUUUAAUGGUAAAAACUGCAAUUACUUUUGCACAAAUCUAAUAUUUA